Long non-coding RNA from Melospiza melodia melodia, 711 nucleotides. RefSeq lists it as uncharacterized. The record is from RefSeq and is a predicted model, not a curated record. Lineage: Eukaryota; Metazoa; Chordata; Aves; Passeriformes; Passerellidae. The transcript is spliced from 3 exons.
CUCAGAGAGUUUGAGCUGCUGCUCAGCCAGGACUGGGGAAAUGGCCACAGUGACAUACAGUUUGUGACAGUACUGACAGUGUUUCAAGCAUCUGGAUUUCAGCCACAGCUCCUGAUAUGAAGUUUUAGACAAGUGAUGGGUCAAGGCGAGGAGCAGACCCCCCUUGUUUCAAACUCCUGCAUUAUCAGAAAUCUUCUAGAGUUUCUCAGGCAUUCAUCACCCCCACAAUCUGUGCAGCUGGGUGAGAGCACCGUGCAGCGGGAUCGGGUUUUGUCCGGCACCAGGUACACUGAUAACCCUCCCUAAUCAGUCGCUGAUCUCUGCUUGGUGAAAGCACUGCCUGUGGUAUUUCUGCUGAAGCUAUUUUUAAAUGACAGUGUGAUAUUUUGUUUUCUUUCUCUCAUUUGUCAAUGAAGAACUGGCUGUGCUGUGCGUCUGCUCUGACAAGAAACUUCCAGUUAUUUUUCAGCCCGUUCCAGCUGGGAUGGAGGCAGGGCUGAAGAAAAGGCUGUCUGCAGGCAGGGUGAGCCCUCCAGGGAGCAGUGACCCUACAGCCUGUCAGGGUCCUCUGGGUCCAGCUGUGGGAAAAGCCUUCUAGGUUUCUUCUGACUCUGGUCCUGAUGCUGCUUUAGGCUGGCUUUCACAAUUAGGGUUAUUUUAUGUUUAGCUGAGCUGUUACUUUCAUUGAUGUUGGAGUUUGGUUUGGUUUGG